CUCCAGCCUGGGCGACAGAGCAAGACUCCAUCUCAAAAAAAACCAACAACAACAACAACAACAACAACAACAAAAAGACCACUAGCUAGACUAAUAAAGAAGAAAAGAGAGAAGAUCCAAAUAAACACAAUUAGAAAUGAUAAAGGAAAUGUUACUACUGACCUCACAGAUAAAAAAACAACCACCAGAGACUACUAUGACCACAUCUACACAUACAGACUAGAAAACCUAAAACAGAUGAAUAAAUUCCUGGACACAUACACCCUCCCAAGACUGAGCAAGGAAGAAAUUGAUUCCCUGAACAGACCAAUAAUGAGCUCCGAAAUUCAAUCAGUAAUAAAUAGCCUACCAACCAAAAAAGGCCAGGACCUGAAGGACUCACAGCUGAAUUCUAUUAGAUGUGCAAAGAAGAGCUGGUACCAUUCCUACAGAAACUAUUCUAAAAAAUUGAGCAGAAAGGACUCCUUCCCAACUCAUUCUAUGAGGCUAGCAUCAUCUUAAUGGUAAACUUUCAAUGACUCUCCACCACCAAGAGGAUGAAUUUCUAUCUCCUUAGAAUGGCAUAUAAAGCCAUUUGUGAUUUGGCCCUGGCUUCCCUCUCCACUCCAGCAGCUGUACUUAAGUACUUGUAGGUCCCUUAGGGAGCCAUAAUUUGUGGCAUUUUUACAUGUUACUUCCUUGGCAUAUAUAUUUUAUUUUAUUUUUGUCAGGCCCACACCACUUAGAUGUUGCUGACUCUAGUAAAGCUUCCCUUACUCCCCAGGUGCUGGGCUAAGUACCCCUAUUCUGGGAACCCUUCUGCUUACCAUAUCACAGCACUUCCGUGACUUCAUAAUCGUCUGUUUACUUGCCAUUUCCUCUAUUAAAUUCUGAGCUCCCUGAUGGGAGUAUUCAUGGUUAGAGUCUCAGUCUCUAUUACGGGCCCUAGUACACUUCAGGAACUCAAAAGCUUUGCUGAUAUAAUGCAAGGUGAUAAAAAAGUAGAAAGACUUGGGAUAAUCUUGAUUUCUGAAGGCAUCAAACGGGAAUUAGAGAAAGCAGCAGGAAAAACGAAGGCCUUUUUAAGUUCCAUGAGAACUACGGUUUGCAAGACUGGUCAAAACAGUACAAUGCAAGCGGCAAGAAUCAGGAAGUGCACAGAAACAAGAAGCUCGGUGCACACUGGGAUCAGGCAAGCAUCUGGGAGAAGACUGUAGCAAGACUGGAUCCUGAGUGCUGCUCUGGCCAAGUCACCUCGCUGAAAUCUCCACUUCCACUUGUGCAACCUACCAAGCCACUCUCUACACAGCUGCCAGAGUGAUUACAAAAACAACGCGGGAUUAUGCUACCCCUGCUUAUCUAAAAUUUGUCAAAAUGCCCGUUACACUUUGAAUAAAAUACAGAUUCCUCUCAGAUCUCAUUUCUUAUCAUGUCUUUCUCAAUCAUUAUGUUCCAGCCUCACUGACCUUCUUUCUGUUCCUGUAAAAUAUUCCUGCCUCAAGGGCGCAGGCCUACGACCUGCAGUUCUCUUUUUCCCACAUGUGACCAGGCUCUCUCUUAGCCAUCAGGUCUCAAAUAAGCUCUUUCCGUUCUGUCUAGGCAUCUUAUCAAAAUCAACCUGUGUAUUAUUAUUCAUUUAUCACAUAAUCUUGUUUUAUUUUCCUCAUAGCACUCUCACUUUCUGAAAUUAUCUUUGUUUAUAUGUUUAAUGCCCUUCUUUUCCACUAGAAUGGAAACUCAAAGAUCAAGAAACUUAUCUGGCCUUUUCACUGUUGAAUUGCCAAAAUUUUGAACAGUGCCUAACAUACAGUAAAGGCUCAAUAAAUAAAUAAAUAAAUGUUCAGCUCUCUUGGCUGUCUCUGCAGUGAUCAAGAAUAUUUUGAUGUCUCUCAAAAGAACUAUAUGCUUAUAGUAGCCU
Molecule: long non-coding RNA, 1897 nt
Filed under: Homo sapiens (human)
Lineage: Eukaryota; Metazoa; Chordata; Mammalia; Primates; Hominidae
Description: HSALNT0017301
Source: RNAcentral